RNAcentral lists this ribosomal RNA (441 nucleotides) under uncultured soil bacterium. Its description in RNAcentral is "bacterial SSU rRNA". It matches the Rfam family "Bacterial small subunit ribosomal RNA", at positions 26 to 518 of the family's 1533-position model. The record is from RNAcentral.
AGAACGAACGCUGGCGGCAGGCUUAACACAUGCAAGUCGAGCGCCCCGCAAGGGGAGCGGCAGACGGGUGAGUAACGCGUGGGAAUCUACCCAAUCCUUCGGAAUAGCUCCGGGAAACUGGAAUUAAUACCGAGUACGCCCUACGGGGGAAAGAUUUAUCGGGGUUGGAUGAGCCCGCGUUGGAUUAGCUAGUUGGUGGGGUAAUGGCCUACCAAGGCGACGAUCCAUAGCUGGUCUGAGAGGAUGAUCAGCCACACUGGGACUGAGACACGGCCCAGACUCCUACGGGAGGCAGCAGUGGGGAAUAUUGGACAAUGGGCGCAAGCCUGAUCCAGCCAUGCCGCGUGAGUGAUGAAGGCCCUAGGGUUGUAAAGCUCUUUCAGUGGGGAAGAUAAUGACGGUACCACAGAAGAAGCCCGGCUAACUCGUGCCAGCAGCCGC